Molecule: ribosomal RNA, 493 nt
Filed under: uncultured bacterium
Lineage: Bacteria
Description: bacterial SSU rRNA
Rfam family: Bacterial small subunit ribosomal RNA
Source: RNAcentral
GAUGAACGCUAGCUACAGGCUUAACACAUGCAAGUCGAGGGGAAACGACAUCGAAAGCUUGCUUUUGGUGGGCGUCGACCGGCGCACGGGUGAGUAACGCGUAUCCAACCUGCCCACCACUUGGGGAUAACCUUGCGAAAGUAAGACUAAUACCCAAUGAUAUCCCACGAAGGCAUCCGAAUGGGAUUAAAGAUUUAUCGGUGAUGGAUGGGGAUGCGUCUGAUUAGCUUGUUGGCGGGGUAACGGCCCACCAAGGCAACGAUCAGUAGGGGUUCUGAGAGGAAGGUCCCCCCACAUUGGAACUGAGACACGGUCCAAACUCCUACGGGAGGCAGCAGUGAGGAAUAUUGGUCAAUGGGCGAGAGCCUGAACCAGCCAAGUAGCGUGCAGGAUGACGGCCCUAUGGGUUGUAAACUGCUUUUAUAAGGGAAUAAAGUGAGCCUCGUGAGGCUUUUUGCAUGUACCUUAUGAAUAAGGACCGGCUAAUUCCGUG